Molecule: ribosomal RNA, 330 nt
Filed under: uncultured Actinomycetes bacterium
Lineage: Bacteria; Bacillati; Actinomycetota; Actinomycetes
Description: bacterial SSU rRNA
Rfam family: Bacterial small subunit ribosomal RNA
Source: RNAcentral
GACGAACGCUGGCGGCGUGCUUAACACAUGCAAGUGGAGCGACGAACCGGGCUUCGGCCCGGGGCAAAGCCGCGAACGGGUGAGUAACACGUGGGUAACCUGCCCCAAAGACCGGGACAACCCGAGGAAACUCGGGCUAAUACCGGAUGUGUUCACCGUCCACAAGGACGAUGAGAAAAGGAAGCUUCGGCCUCCGCUUUGGGAUGGGCCCGCGGCCCAUUAGCUUGUUGGUGAGGUAACGGCUCACCAAGGCUUCGAUGGGUAGCUGGUCUGAGAGGACGAUCAGCCACACUGGGACUGAGACACGGCCCAGACUCCUACGGGAGGCAG